AUUGAACGCUGGCGGCAGGCUUAACACAUGCAAGUCGAGCGGGGUGAUGGUGCUUGCACUAUCACUUAGCGGCGGACGGGUGAGUAAUGCUUAGGAAUCUGCGUAUUAGUGGGGGACACCAUCUCGAAAGGGAUGCUAAUACCGCAUACGUCCUACGGGAGAAAGCAGGGGAUCACUUGUGACCUUGCGCUAAUAGAUGAGCCUAAGUCGGAUUAGCUAGUUGGUGGGGUAAAGGCCUACCAAGGCGACGAUCUGUAGCGGGUCUGAGAGGAUGAUCCGCCACACUGGGCCUGCUACACGGCCCAGACUCCUACGGGAGGCAGCAGUGGGGAAUAUUGGACAAUGGGGGGAACCCUGAUCCAGCCAUGCCGCGUGUGUGAAGAAGGCUUUAUGGUUGUAAAUCACUUUAAGCGAGGAGGAGGCUCUUUUGGUUAAUACCCAAGAUGAGUGGACGUUACUCGCAGAAUAAGCACCGGCUAACUCUGUGCCAGCAGCCGCGGUAA
This 503-nucleotide ribosomal RNA is filed under the name uncultured bacterium. RNAcentral describes it as "partial 16S ribosomal RNA". It matches the Rfam family "Bacterial small subunit ribosomal RNA", at positions 30 to 523 of the family's 1533-position model. The record is from RNAcentral.